GUGGGGAAUCUUCCGCAAUGGACGAAAGUCUGACGGAGCAACGUCGCGUGAACGAUGACGGCCUUCGGGUUGUAAAGUUCUGUUAUACGGGACGAAUGGUACGACGGCCAAUACCCGUCGUAAGUGACGGUACCGUAAGAGAAAGCCACGGCUAACUACGUGCCAGCAGCCGCGGUAAUACGUAGGUGGCAAGCGUUGUCCGGAAUUAUUGGGCGUAAAGGGCGCGCAGGCGGCGUCGUAAGUCGGUCUUAAAAGUGUGGGGCUUAACCCCGUGAGGGGACCGAAACUGCGAUGCUAGAGUAUCGGAGAGGAAAGCGGAAUUCCUAGUGUAGCGGUGAAAUGCGUAGAUAUUAGGAGGAACACCAGUGGCGAAAGCGGCUUUCUGGACGACAACUGACGCUGAGGCGCGAAAGCCAGGGGAGCAAACGGGAUUAGAAACCCGGGUAGUCC
RNAcentral lists this ribosomal RNA (450 nucleotides) under uncultured bacterium. RNAcentral's name for it is "partial 16S ribosomal RNA". It matches the Rfam family "Bacterial small subunit ribosomal RNA", at positions 354 to 796 of the family's 1533-position model. The record is from RNAcentral.